RNAcentral lists this long non-coding RNA (243 nucleotides) under Prunus persica (peach). RNAcentral's name for it is "long non-coding RNA (PPER_LNC003485)". Lineage: Eukaryota; Viridiplantae; Streptophyta; Magnoliopsida; Rosales; Rosaceae. The record is from RNAcentral.
UCCUGGACUGUCUUUGCAGAGGUGGAUGCCAAGAACUUCAUGAUGCAGACCAUCAAGGACAUUAAUGCCCAAGUUAUAGAAGGAAACUUUCAAUUCUGUCUGUUCUGCCUAUUCUGUUUUUAGUGAUGAUGCCUAACAUUUUUGUUCUAUCUGUAUCAGAUCCCUCUUUGAUGGAAAACAUAGAUGGGCAGUCCGUCCAGGCUGGAGAAGUGAUUGGUAAGCUUUCCAUCGUUCUGUUCCCUC